RNAcentral lists this ribosomal RNA (424 nucleotides) under Verrucomicrobiota bacterium. RNAcentral describes it as "Verrucomicrobia bacterium partial 16S ribosomal RNA". It matches the Rfam family "Bacterial small subunit ribosomal RNA", at positions 355 to 776 of the family's 1533-position model. Lineage: Bacteria; Pseudomonadati; Verrucomicrobiota. The record is from RNAcentral.
UGAGGAAUAUUGGUCAAUGGACGCAAGUCUGAACCAGCCAAGUAGCGUGCAGGAUGACGGCCCUAUGGGUUGUAAACUGCUUUUAUAUGGGGAUAAAGUGGGGAACGUGUUCCCUUUUGCAGGUACCAUAUGAAUAAGGACCGGCUAAUUCCGUGCCAGCAGCCGCGGUAAUAAGGAAGGUUCGGGCGUUAUCCGGAUUUAUUGGGUUUAAAGGGAGCGUAGGCCGUUUGGUAAGCGUGUUGUGAAAUGUAGGAGCUCAACUUCUAGAUUGCAGCGCGAACUGUCAGACUUGAGUGCGCACAACGUAGGCGGAAUUCAUGGUGUAGCGGUGAAAUGCUUAGAUAUCAUGAAGAACUCCGAUUGCGAAGGCAGCUUACGGGAGCGCAACUGACGCUGAAGCUCGAAGGUGCGGGUAUCGAACAGG